This 1346-nucleotide ribosomal RNA is filed under the name Streptomyces sp. 14CM002. RNAcentral's name for it is "16S ribosomal RNA". It matches the Rfam family "Bacterial small subunit ribosomal RNA", at positions 90 to 1441 of the family's 1533-position model. The record is from RNAcentral. Lineage: Bacteria; Bacillati; Actinomycetota; Actinomycetes; Kitasatosporales; Streptomycetaceae.
GAUUAGUGGCGAACGGGUGAGUAACACGUGGGCAAUCUGCCCUGCACUCUGGGACAAGCCCUGGAAACGGGGUCUAAUACCGGAUAUGACCGUCUGCCGCAUGGUGGAUGGUGUAAAGCUCCGGCGGUGCAGGAUGAGCCCGCGGCCUAUCAGCUUGUUGGUGAGGUAGUGGCUCACCAAGGCGACGACGGGUAGCCGGCCUGAGAGGGCGACCGGCCACACUGGGACUGAGACACGGCCCAGACUCCUACGGGAGGCAGCAGUGGGGAAUAUUGCACAAUGGGCGAAAGCCUGAUGCAGCGACGCCGCGUGAGGGAUGACGGCCUUCGGGUUGUAAACCUCUUUCAGCAGGGAAGAAGCGAAAGUGACGGUACCUGCAGAAGAAGCGCCGGCUAACUACGUGCCAGCAGCCGCGGUAAUACGUAGGGCGCAAGCGUUGUCCGGAAUUAUUGGGCGUAAAGAGCUCGUAGGCGGCUUGUCACGUCGGUUGUGAAAGCCCGGGGCUUAACCCCGGGUCUGCAGUCGAUACGGGCAGGCUAGAGUUCGGUAGGGGAGAUCGGAAUUCCUGGUGUAGCGGUGAAAUGCGCAGAUAUCAGGAGGAACACCGGUGGCGAAGGCGGAUCUCUGGGCCGAUACUGACGCUGAGGAGCGAAAGCGUGGGGAGCGAACAGGAUUAGAUACCCUGGUAGUCCACGCCGUAAACGGUGGGCACUAGGUGUGGGCAACAUUCCACGUUGUCCGUGCCGCAGCUAACGCAUUAAGUGCCCCGCCUGGGGAGUACGGCCGCAAGGCUAAAACUCAAAGGAAUUGACGGGGGCCCGCCACAAGCGGCGGAGCAUGUGGCUUAAUUCGACGCAACGCGAAGAACCUUACCAAGGCUUGACAUACACCGGAAACGUCUGGAGACAGGCGCCCCCUUGUGGUCGGUGUACAGGUGGUGCAUGGCUGUCGUCAGCUCGUGUCGUGAGAUGUUGGGUUAAGUCCCGCAACGAGCGCAACCCUUGUCCCGUGUUGCCAGCAGGCCCUUGUGGUGCUGGGGACUCACGGGAGACCGCCGGGGUCAACUCGGAGGAAGGUGGGGACGACGUCAAGUCAUCAUGCCCCUUAUGUCUUGGGCUGCACACGUGCUACAAUGGCCGGUACAAUGAGCUGCGAUACCGUGAGGUGGAGCGAAUCUCAAAAAGCCGGUCUCAGUUCGGAUUGGGGUCUGCAACUCGACCCCAUGAAGUCGGAGUCGCUAGUAAUCGCAGAUCAGCAUUGCUGCGGUGAAUACGUUCCCGGGCCUUGUACACACCGCCCGUCACGUCACGAAAGUCGGUAACACGCCGAAGCCGGUGGCCCAACCC